UGACCUAUGACGCAAUUGGCAGCACGACGGUUUCUGGUUCCGUUAGUCUUGGUUCGAGUCCAGGUAGUUCAG
Molecule: transfer RNA, 72 nt
Filed under: Streptomyces microflavus DSM 40593
Lineage: Bacteria; Bacillati; Actinomycetota; Actinomycetes; Kitasatosporales; Streptomycetaceae
Description: Streptomyces fulvissimus DSM 40593 tRNA-Gln
Rfam family: tRNA
About the family: Transfer RNA (tRNA) molecules are approximately 80 nucleotides in length. Their secondary structure includes four short double-helical elements and three loops (D, anti-codon, and T loops).
Source: RNAcentral